RNAcentral lists this long non-coding RNA (462 nucleotides) under Salmo salar (Atlantic salmon). RNAcentral describes it as "lncRNA (ENSSSAG00000109395.1)". The record is from RNAcentral. Lineage: Eukaryota; Metazoa; Chordata; Actinopteri; Salmoniformes; Salmonidae.
GAGAGAUGGAGAGUGAGUGAGAGAGAAAGAAAUAGAUGGAGAGGGGGAGGGAGAUAGGGAAAGGGAGAGAGGGGAUGUAGAAGGGGAAGGAGAGAGACAGGUAAGAGAGGGGGAGGGAGAUAGAGAGAAAAGGAAAAGAAGAGAGAUUGGCAGCUACAGAGAGAGUUCAGUUCUCAGUUCUUUCUGAGUUAGUGUACCUACUUAUACCAUACUACAACACAGAAAGAGAAAGGGAUAGCGAGAGAGAGAGGCAGAGAGAGGUAGAGAGAGAGGUAGAGUGAGGCAGAGAGAGAGGUAGAGAGAGAGGUAGAGAGAGAGGUAGAGAGAGAGAGAGAGAGAAGAGACAUGUGUAUCCCUAGAGAAGGCUGCAUCGCCACGACAACCACUUCCAGGGGAAUCACCAGAAGACCACUGUGUUUGGUGUUGGAGCACCAUCUACUGGUCAGGUCUGGUAGGGCGGGG